CGCCCCCGAGGCGCGCGAGUGGGUGUGUGCGCGGGGGAGGGCGGCCAAACUUCCUGUCCCGCGCUCGAGCUGCUUCCGGCGGGAGCCGGAAGACGCCGUGUGUGGACGGGAUUCGGGACUGACUGACGGCCGGCCGGCUGCCCGGGACGGGAGGUUAAAUUGAUUAUCUACCCAGUGCAGGAUCUUACAAGAACAGCAUAGUGUUUCCUGAAGGAAUAUGAGCAAAACCAGACAGUAUCAUUGACUGAAUAAAUUUGUACUUGUCCCCUGAACGGCUACAAGAUUUGGAAGCUGAAUCAAUGUUAUCAGAUGAGUUAGAAUCCAAACCAGAGCUCCUGGUACAGUUUGUUCAGAAUACGUCCAUCCCGUUGGGACAGGGGCUAGUAGAAUCAGAAGCUAAAGACAUAACUUGCUUGUCCCUCCUUCCGGUGACUGAGGCCUCAGAAUGCGGCCGACUAAUGUUACCAGAUGAUACUCCAAAUCACACCAGCUCUUCCAAAGAGGUCCCUUCCUCUGCUGUACUAAGAAGCCUUCAGGUGAAUGUGGGCCCAGACGGAGAAGAAACGAGGGCUCAGGCAGUACAGAAGUCCCCGGAGUUUUUGACCACUGCAGAGUCUCCUAGCUUGUUGCAAGAUCUACAGCCAAGUGACAGCACUUCUUUUAUUCUCCUUAACCUAACAAGAACAGGUCUGGGCUCAUCUGCCGAGCACUUAGUGUUUGUACAGGAUGAAGCAGAGGAUUCAGGGAAUGAUUUUCUCUCCAGUGAGAGCACGGACAGUAGCAUCCCCUGGUUCCUGCGGGUUCAGGAGUUGGCCCAUGACAGUUUGAUUGCUGCCACUCGUGCACAACUUGCAAAGAACGCGAAAUCCAGCAGCAAUGGAGAAAAUGUCCACCUUGGUUCUAGUGAUGGGCAACCCAAAGAUUCCGGGCCCCUUCCUCAAGUGGAAAAGAAGCUGAAAUGUACAGUUGAAGGCUGUGAUCGGACGUUUGUGUGGCCAGCUCACUACAAGUACCACCUCAAAACUCAUCGAAAUGACCGCUCCUUCAUCUGCCCUGCAGAAGGUUGUGGGAAAAGCUUCUAUGUGCUGCAGAGGCUGAAGGUGCACAUGAGGACCCACAAUGGGGAGAAGCCCUUUAUGUGCCCUGAGCCUAGCUGUGGUAAGCAGUUUACCACAGCUGGUAACCUGAAGAACCACCUGCGCAUCCACACAGGAGAGAAGCCUUUCCUUUGUGAAGCCCAAGGAUGUGGCCGAUCCUUUGCUGAGUAUUCUAGCCUCCGAAAACACCUGGUGGUUCACUCAGGAGAGAAGCCUCAUCAGUGCCAAGUCUGUGGGAAGACCUUCUCUCAGAGUGGGAGCAGGAACGUGCACAUGAGACGGCAUCACCUGCAGCUGGGGGCAGCUGGCAGUCAAGAGCAGGAGCAAGCUGCUGAGCCACUCAUGGGCAGUAGUUUGCUUGAAGAGGCUUCAGUUCCCAGUAAAAACCUGGUGUCUAUGAAUUCCCAGCCCAGCCUUGGUGGAGAGUCCUUGAACCUACCAAAUACCAAUUCUAUCCUGGGAGUUGAUGAUGACGUUUUUCUGCUGUUCCAUAGAGGUGCUUGCCGAAGGAUCUCCACGUGCCCUGACUUCAGUGCCUGAUGUGACACAUCACUUGGUGACCAUGCAGUCAGGGAGGCAGUCUUACGAGGUUUCUGUCUUGACGGCAGUAAACCCACAGGAGUUACUAAACCAAGGAGAUUUAACUGAAAGACGGACAUGAAUAUGGGUGCUGGGUCCUGGAAGAGCAGCUCUGAUUCCAGAGUGCGUGCAGUGGGACCUGGAUGCAGUGGCUUGCUGUCUGCCAUAACCAGAACGGAUCUGUGAAGGCCAACACCACGCUUCUGCCCGUGCUCACCUGCCCUGGCGUGGAAGGUUGACGUAAGCAGGCUUCUCUUCAAACUGCCGUCUGAUCAGACAAGGAGCCAGGUGCUGGCUAUGGGCUGCCUACCUGUAGCUGCCUCUCUUCCUGCUGCAAAACUGUGGGAUAGACAUCUCCCGGAAGUGCAUUUGAUUGUGUGUGGGCUGAGGCUGCUCCUUGGGACGGCUGAGGGGAGGUUUCCUUUGAAGAGUUUUCAGCCCACACUCAGCUCUCUUUCACGUGGAUGAACCAAGUCCUGCCACCACCCAUGGAGCUUCACCAGGAAGUUGAGCUUUCAAGAUGCCUUGUUGCUUUGAAGAAGGGAGUGAUGUCAGUCUGUUGCCAUUCUCCCUUUAGCAACCUGAGUAAGAGACUCUGCCACUGGGCUGCAAAAAAUAAAUUACUUGAAUCUCCCCUUGGCCCAGGCUAAGUACUGUCUUGUCCUGUGCACCUCUACUUGGUCACUUUGCUUCCUUCGUUUAUGAAACAUUCAGAAGCAUGUUGAGGGUUUUUUUUUUAAAGUUAAAAAUCAGUGAUUCAGAGCUUCAGUUUUCCUUUUAAAUAAACAAAAUAGCCCAGUGA
Molecule: non-coding RNA, 2478 nt
Organism: Oryctolagus cuniculus (rabbit)
Lineage: Eukaryota; Metazoa; Chordata; Mammalia; Lagomorpha; Leporidae
Source: RefSeq, a predicted model, not a curated record